CCUCAGAGACUUUUAGGCAGCAUAUAUAAUCAGCAAGACACAUAUAUAUGACGUGCGUAUAUAUAUAUAAUAUAGUAUAUAUAUAUAUAUAUAUAUAUAUAUAAACUAUUCCUGUCAGCAUUACAUCUCUGAAUCUGUUUUUGCUGAAACCAGUAUCUGUUUAGGACAUCUCCACCUCAUCACCGCCACGUCAUCCUGCCAGGUCAGUGAUUAGGAAUAUAUUGUCUAAUUAGGAAUAAAUUAAUUAUUGUGUAUGGAAAAUAACAAACAACAAAAUAAUUUGAUUUUUAUUAGUAAGUCACAAUAUAUUAUCAAUUAUAAGUGAAUAUUAAAUUUCAAUUAAUAAAUUGCAUGAUUCAAUUUAAUUUUUAAGAUUUACUUAUAUCACGAUAAUGUUAAAUUUAAUUAAAUUUAGAGAAUUUUUUAUUUUAUUAUAAAAUAUAAUAUUUAUACAAUUUUCUUUUAGAGUAGUAUUCAUUUAGUUAUCAAUAAUUUUAAUAUCGAAUCUUUAAUAUAGUUUGAUUUUGUUAUAUAUUUUAUAAAAAAUAUAUAUAAAUUGCUAUAAAUUAAAAUUUAUAACCUAUAUUUUGAGUCUAGCAAUUUGAUUUGAUUCACAAUUCUUGAUUAAGAACUAAAUUUUCUACUUAUACUUCAAAUCUUGAUGAAGUAACUAUACUUAUCUAACUUUUCAAUAAAUAAUUCAAUGUUUAACUACUAAUAUCUUUAAGUGUGCUGACCAAUGACCAGAUCAAACAAUAUUUGGUCCAACUUAAUUUGGACCAUUCUAUUAGCUCCGGUCCAAUACCUUUUUUAAACUAAAAUUUGAACAUCUCUAGAUGUUGGGAUUUUUGUUUUUUUGGAAGUUAUUUAUUUGAAGCAUGAAGAUCUCAUUAGGGCAAAAAAGCACAAGCUGACAUUAAAAAUAAUAUAAAAUAUGCUAUUUUAUUUUAAACCCAUUCAAUUUCAUUUCUUGAUUUGAGUGUUACAUAUUUUUUUUGUUAAAUAAAACGAGUUAUACAAUUUUAAUUCAAGUCAUCAAUUCAACAAGAAGUUUUUUUGCCUUAUUAUAUGUAGUACUACCAUUAUCAAGCCACAAAAAAUGCAUUCUGUUUGUUAAUCAUCCAAAAAAGAAACCAAUCUUUUGUGCAAAAGAAAAUCAAAACAUCCACAGUAGAAAGGAAGAAAAGCUGUACCUCUCUUCUGUCCUUAUCAUCAUCAGUCAAAAUCAUCAUCCGUUACUGCCUCUGCCUCGCUUGCUUUUGGAUUUAGCAUUCUGCUUCGAGUUGUCUCCGUCGUCGUUGAUCAACAUUAUUAUCAUCACGCCAGCCAUUUCCCACAAAAAAGGAAGAAGACAAACCUAAACUCUCUCUCACUUUGUCGAUGAAGACUUUUAACGUCUUCCCGAAAACGACGACGUUUUGGAAGGAUUUAAUGCUCUUUGCAGAACGGCAACGUUUUGGGGAAAAAGAAGCUUCAGCUCGUCUUUUUUAAGCCCGGACGAAAGAAAAGAAAAGUAAAAAGUAAAAGAAAAGGAGAAGAGUGGGCUGGGUUGAAUUUUUGUACCAUCGUCUAUUUAUUCUUUCCCCUAUUUACUACUCUUUUUACCCAUUCUAGAUUUUUCUU
RNAcentral lists this long non-coding RNA (1623 nucleotides) under Carica papaya (papaya). RNAcentral describes it as "long non-coding RNA (CPAP_LNC002327)". Lineage: Eukaryota; Viridiplantae; Streptophyta; Magnoliopsida; Brassicales; Caricaceae. The record is from RNAcentral.